RNAcentral lists this non-coding RNA (27 nucleotides) under Bombyx mori (domestic silkworm). The record is from RNAcentral. Lineage: Eukaryota; Metazoa; Arthropoda; Insecta; Lepidoptera; Bombycidae.
UCCUUUACUCUGGCUGGCCGGGUUGAC